RNAcentral lists this ribosomal RNA (791 nucleotides) under Stenotrophomonas sp. VA3. RNAcentral's name for it is "bacterial SSU rRNA". It matches the Rfam family "Bacterial small subunit ribosomal RNA", at positions 29 to 807 of the family's 1533-position model. The record is from RNAcentral. Lineage: Bacteria; Pseudomonadati; Pseudomonadota; Gammaproteobacteria; Lysobacterales; Lysobacteraceae.
GGAUACGCUGGCGGCUAGCCUACACAUGCAAGUCGAACGGCAGCACAGGAGAGCUUGCUCUCUGGGUGGCGAGUGGCGGACGGGUGAGGAAUACAUCGGAAUCUACUCUGUCGUGGGGGUAUAACGUAGGGAAACUUACGCUAAUACCGCAUACGACCUACGUGGUGAAAGCAGGGGACCUUCGGGCCUUGCGCGAUUGAAUGAGCCGAUGUCGGAUUAGCUAGUUGGCGGGGUAAAGGCCCACCAAGGCGACGAUCCGUAGCUGGUCUGAGAGGAUGAUCAGCCACACUGGAACUGAGACACGGUCCAGACUCCUACGGGAGGCAGCAGUGGGGAAUAUUGGACAAUGGGCGCAAGCCUGAUCCAGCCAUACCGCGUGGGUGAAGAAGGCCUUCGGGUUGUAAAGCCCUUUUGUUGGGAAAGAAAUCCAGCUGGCUAAUACCCGGUUGGGAUGACGGUACCCAAAGAAUAAGCACCGGCUAACUUCGUGCCAGCAGCCGCGGUAAUACGAAGGGUGCAAGCGUUACUCGGAAUUACUGGGCGUAAAGCGUGCGUAGGUGGUCGUUUAAGUCCGUUGUGAAAGCCCUGGGCUCAACCUGGGAACUGCAGUGGAUACUGGGCGACUAGAAUGUGGUAGAGGGUAGCGGAAUUCCUGGUGUAGCAGUGAAAUGCGUAGAGAUCAGGAGGAACAUCCUUGGCGAAGGCAGCUACCUGGACCAACAUUGACACUGAGGCACGAAAGCGUGGGGGAGCAAACAGGAUUAGAUACCCUGGUUGUCCACGCCCUAAAC